UGUUUAGGCCCCAGGAAACAAUCUCUACAUGUGGCACUCGACUCUGAAAACAACAGGUCAAAUGUCCUGAUACUUCGUGGAUGAUGCCACCGCAGACAUAGGAGACAGACACUGCUUCAAGAGAGGAUUUGAGUGAACUUGGAGGACAUUUGAAAAUGACCAAAAAAUAUAAUGAGAAGAAAUUAGCCUGACUAGGGUGGGAGCAGGAAGAAGAAAUGUAUCUUCUUUGAAAGAGCCUUGCAAACAAGAAAACGGGCCAGGGACAAAGUGCAGGAGGAGAGGCUAUCACAAUGGCUCAGAGGCUUGAAAAGAGCUCAGGGUCAGACCAUGUUCUCUGAUAUGGGACAGGCAGAGCCCCGUGAAUGAGGUAGGCGAGGGUGCGUGGGACACUCGGCAGCGGCCCAAUCUCUAUCUGCAAAGAGCCUGUGGAGGAAGGGGAGGUGCUGGGGGGAGCUGACUUGGGGGUCACACAGCCCCCACUGGGCUCCCCUAGGGUGGGAGCCAGGGUCUCUGUGAGGCACCAGGAGACGGGACUGGGGCCAGCAGGCACAAGUGCUGGGAGGAGGACUUCAGCUCAGAGAAGGAGCAGAUCUCCACUAGGGGGCAGGAGGGGACCACAGAUGCUAAACAGCCGGCCAUUCAGGGUUACCCUGGCCAGAAUUCUCCCUUAAGCCUCAGCUUCCAGAGCUACAAAUCAGAGCUAAAUAAACCCUCCUUCCACUGGGGGUGGCGGAGGUCACGUGUGUGUGUGCACGCAUGUGUGAACGUGUGUCAGAGACCAGCAGCCGCUCACCCAAUCCAUUUCUUCUGCCUGGACAGACUACAUCUUCAGCCUUAUUUGUGCUCUAGCCAACGGGAUGGAAGUGGAGCGAUGCUAGCCCCAUAGAGGCCUGGCCCAGAGACCCUCCUGCACAAUUCUCUACACUCUCUUUCCCCGGUGGUGCCUCCCCCUGGUGUGGAGUGACCUUGGGAGCCACGUGUGGGAGAGGAAGAGGGCAGAGCCCCUGGCAGGUAGCCAAGGUCUCUCAUCAACAAGCCAAUUAACUUUUACGUGCACGAGAAAUAAGCCUCUAUUCUACCGCCAAUGCAGAGUGGGUAGGAGGUGCUUGAUAAACGGAGCCACUUUCCUUCAUCAUGUUAAGGAUGUUGCAGGUCAGCGCUCUCCUGUGCGGCAUCACUGGCUUCUAGGGAUGGAAGGAAACGCUUCCCUUCUCCAGCCGCACUGGAUCCUGAGUGUUCCCCUCUCUUUCCACUGACCUCCCCGGACAGAUGGUAAGGGGCUCAUCCAUGCUGUCCUCCACCCUAGACUGUGAGCCCUCUGAAAGUCAAGGCUGUGACUGGCCAUCCAUCUGUCUCAGCAUCCAGCACAGGGAACAAACCGAAAUGUUCAUAGGAGGUUUGAGCUGGGGGCAGUAAGUUCCCUGUCAUGUGAAGGAGGCAAGGCUGCAAAGGGGGCUCCUGACCGAGGCUGGACUAGAGGACAUGGGACUCCCUUCUCAGCCUGGAGUCUUACAGCUGAGUUAACCACAGGGCAGGUUCUUAGCAGAGCCCCACGAGCUAACCAUGAGCUUCUUACUCCUGAAGAAACGUGGGGAUGAGCACUGGGAAGCUGCUGCGGGCUCUGGGCCCAGGCAAGCUUCUCCCCCUGACUCCAGCCAGCAAGAGCUUGGAGACUCUGAGAGGCCUCCGGAGAAAGCUCAAGGGUUCAGGGCCUGUUUCUGGCCUUGCUCUGCCUGCACUGGCCAUGGGACCUUGGACUCACUGCCCAUUCUGAGUUUCAGUACAAACCCCCAUUUGUGGAUGCGAGAUGCCACCAAGACCAGGACUCUGAAAUGCUCCAUGCAGGCCACAUGGAAGGCACUGACCACAUGUGGGCCAUUAUCUAUUUGCGUUUCUCCCAGGAAGGGAUCCCACAUGGGGAGAGCCCCUGG
This 1931-nucleotide long non-coding RNA is filed under the name Homo sapiens (human). RNAcentral's name for it is "HSALNT0354493". Lineage: Eukaryota; Metazoa; Chordata; Mammalia; Primates; Hominidae. The record is from RNAcentral.